Non-coding RNA from Oryza meridionalis, 202 nucleotides. The record is from Rfam. Lineage: Eukaryota; Viridiplantae; Streptophyta; Magnoliopsida; Poales; Poaceae.
AAUAAAUAUAGUUAUGGGUUUCAGCACCUAACUUUGAUCAUUCUUCUUAUUUGAAAUAUUUUAUGAUUACUAUUUUUAUUGUUAUUAGAUGAUAAAAUAUAAAUAGUAUUUUAUGCGUGACUUAACUUUUAAUUUUUUUCAUAAUUUUGAAAUAAGACGGACGGUCGAACAUUAGCCACGAAAACUUAUGGAUGUACUUAUA